UACGUAGGGUGCAAGCGUUAAUCGGAAUUACUGGGCGUAAAGCGUGCGCAGGCGGUUAUGCAAGACAGAUGUGAAAUCCCCGGGCUCAACCUGGGAACUGCAUUUGUGACUGCAUAGCUAGAGUACGGUAGAGGGGGAUGGAAUUCCGCGUGUAGCAGUGAAAUGCGUAGAUAUGCGGAGGAACAUCCGUGGCGAAGGCGACUACCUGGACCAGCACUGACACUGAGGCACGAAAGCGUGGGGAGCAAACAGG
RNAcentral lists this ribosomal RNA (253 nucleotides) under uncultured bacterium. RNAcentral's name for it is "partial 16S ribosomal RNA". It matches the Rfam family "Bacterial small subunit ribosomal RNA", at positions 524 to 776 of the family's 1533-position model. The record is from RNAcentral.